CAUUUCGACAAUCAUAACAAGUGAUUUGCAUUGACACCUUCUUGUUUCAUAUAAAACAGUUUCUCUUCAAUUUCAUAUGGGACUAUGCUUUUUUCGAAAGCCUUAUUUAGAAAAUGAGCUCCAAGACCAGGAAGAAGCAACGUACGCAUGUCAUGCUUGUCGACUUGAUUUGCUGGCUUGAACUCAUAAAGAUAACCGUUCUCGUGAUCUUUCUGAAAAUUUCGCUUGGGCUAUGGCUGUCACAUACUUAAAUUGUGGAUGAAAAGUUUCUUCUGUUUACUGGAUCAAGCAACUCCAAAAGAAAGCCUGCUAUGAUUGACAUUGAAAGUAAAACACACUCUGCACUUCACAACAAGCCCAGCAACACAACGCAGGCACACGAAAGGCAUGACAGCAUAAUAUUCAUCGACAAACCAACACUAAAAUAUGUACAGAUUGCUAGAAAAAGUAUUUUAUUGUCGCCACAAAGCGCUACCCAAUACCCUUGCAAAGGGUAUUAUUUUUCUCUGUGUGGGAGUCAUUGCUUGCUUGAUUUAUUUCACGACGGUAAAGCGUCUACCCAGUGGGUUCCAGAGUUUGAGGCUACUUGGUCGAGAUCGUGGGCCAGAGCUACAUUGUUCGAACGUGCUGGACACGAUGCUGAAAGGACAUUGGAAGCAGCUUCCGUACGCCGAAGAGGACAUGAACGACGUGCAGUUUUUUCUACACACAACCAGAUCUCAGCACUUUUUGCCGUAUGAGCUGCAGCGUUCUGACAAACGAUGUGGAAAUGUGUCGUUCGAUGAACUGGAAGGUCGGAUGCACAAUCUUCACUGGUUCCGGGCGCUGUGCGAUCCCGACGGCGACACUCCUUGUUGCUAUGACAACCAAUGUGUGUAUAAAGAACAAGAAAAGUGUCGGUGUGAAACUUGCUAUGAUAUGAGGCAGCCGGUCAAUGCUGA
This is a long non-coding RNA of Aplysia californica (California sea hare), 941 nucleotides long. RefSeq lists it as uncharacterized. The transcript is spliced from 3 exons. The record is from RefSeq and is a predicted model, not a curated record. Lineage: Eukaryota; Metazoa; Mollusca; Gastropoda; Aplysiida; Aplysiidae.